ACGAUCUUUAAUGGUUAAGCAUUGAAACUGUUUGCUUGCAGUGUUCGAGAGAACUGCCUCUGCAUAGCUAAACUUUGCAGACUGACUAGCUGUUCCAAGGGACAUAUUUACCACUGGCUUAUCCCAUUUGAAGAUGUCACUCAGAGUUCAUUCAAGUAGAGGUUUUUGACUCCAGAGGUAGAGGUGUCCUCCAGUUUUUGAGAGGAAUCUUCAUAAUUCUGGAAUUGUGUGGUUGUGGAGAAAUUGCUUUCAGGAGUUCAAUGUGUUCACUGGGCUGAAAAGAAUCACCCUCCUCACCACUUUCCUCAAAAGAGCAGGACAAGUGUUUUUUUCUCACGCUCAAUCUUGGGCAAGCUGGCUCCACUGGAUGCUUUUACCUGGGCACUUUCUGCUGACUCUCCCAGAUGCUGACUGUCUCCAAGACUGCAGCCCUGGAAGCCUCAGAACCACCAUGAAAAAGCCAGGGUGGGGAGAGAGAGCAUGCAGGAGCUCCACAAGUGGACCCAUUUUUGGCAACAUGGGGAGAGUUACCUCUCUGUGGAGAGAGCUGUGCUAGGGGAUGAGCAUUUCUCCCCAGUAGAAAUCAGCAUGAAAAAUAGAUAUUUCUUUUCUUCACCAGCAAUUUUUUUCUUUUACUGAAAUGAAACCAAAUUAUUUGUUUGUUUGUUUUUUUAUAGUCACUGAACAGGAGAGAAAAAGACAGAUUGAGCCAAAUUAAAGGUUUUAUCUAAGAGAUCCCUUGGUAUUUUCUACAUUGAAGGAGCCUUCCAGUACUCAAAGGAAGUUAUAAACAGGAGGGAAAACAACUUUUUACAGAGAUAGCUAGGGAUAGAAGAAGGGAGAACAGUUUUAAACCAAUAAGGGAGAUUUAGGUUAGAUGUUAGGGGCAGAUUUUUCACUCAGAGUGUGGUGAGGCACUAGCACAGUCUGCCCAAAGGCUGCAGAUGCCCUAUCCCUGGAGGUGUUCAGGGCGAGGUUGGAUGGGGCCCUGGGCAGCCUGAGCUGGUGGGUGGUUUAGUGGGCAUUCCUGCCUGCAGUAGUAGUGUUGGAACUAGAAGAUCUUUGAAGUUUGUCCCAACUGAAGCCAUUCUAUGAAUAGGGAAAAUAAAGCACAGCUUUCUGGUGGGCAUUCCAUGUGAAGAAAGCAAGUGGAGCAGUGAGACAAGAUUAGACAGAAAGAGCAUCUGAACCUUAUUCUCCCAGUUUGUAGUCUUGAAACAAAUCUCCUGUGUCCCACCUGAGCACUCUGAGCUCUGGGCACAGGUACAGGAUUAUGUUUCCCAUUUUUGAACAGUUAUCUUCAGCAAAGCUGUUCAGUAUAAAUAAGAAAAGGAAAAGCUUGAGUGAUUUGGUGGCCUGAUGGCUCCAGCUGGGAGAACAGAUCCUUGCUCCAAUUAGUGCUUCUCCACAUACAAAAAUAAAAUAUUUUUACCAGGAGAUAUUGAAAAUACCUUUUUUAUUAGGGCCCUGUAUAGUCCAGUUGCAAGGGUACUUUUCUGAAACACAGGGAUUGGGAAGACCACAUUCAUUUUCUUUUUCCCACUAGGCAGAAAAUAGGCUGUGUUCUCCUCUUCCCUUGCUGAGUCUGCUGACAUCCACACUGCCAGACGAAAGCCACUCUAACCCUGGCAGUUUGGUAAAUCCUCCCUAGGACCUGGCUGUAAAAUUGAAGCAUUUCUUCCUGAAGCACCAAAGUAAGCCAGUUUGCAUCUCUGCCUCUUCUCCAGUCUGAUCCAAAUCAUUAAAUGCAAAUUGAAUUCACAGCUAUCUUCAGCCUCUCCUCUUGCUGAUUGGAGGUAUUUUAUUUGAGUCAGAGAAUACACUUAUCGUGGGCAUUUGCCUGACUCUAGCUCAGGGCUGCAAGA
Phasianus colchicus (ring-necked pheasant) is the source of this 1865-nucleotide non-coding RNA. Lineage: Eukaryota; Metazoa; Chordata; Aves; Galliformes; Phasianidae. The record is from RefSeq and is a predicted model, not a curated record.